GUAACAGUCAGAGAAGCCUUACACAAUCGAAAUGCUCCCCAGAGCCCGUGUCAGUGUAACACACCACACGGUGCUGCCUAUGGGGAUGGGUACAACAAAGCCACUGCUGCGACGGCCGUGGCUCUGCUCAGGUUCAUUGCAAAAGUGUGGGUACUUGGAGCAAGCAGGCUGCCGCAGCACCCCACAGCCUCACCCAGCUUCUCAUUGACUACGCUGCUGACACAGCAGCCGUUGUCCAAGAGGAUGGGUUAUCUGAGGACAUUCUGAGACAGCAGCUCAUGUAUGUGGACAUUCAGGACACGUUCUCCAUCACUAAUUCCCCCCAGAUGAAACUCAUUGAGUUCCUGACUGAGUUCAGGGUGGAUGAGGAGCUUCUCCGGAGCUCCCAGAAGAAGCGGCACGGUCCCAUCAACGCUGUAAAAAUAGAGCCUUCUCAGUGGGAUCGCUGCUUCAGGCCGGUCCUUGUGAGCUUGUGGGCACCUGGCAGAAGUAGGAUGAGUGCUGCUGUGUGCAGAGCUCACAGAUGGUGUGCUGGCACUAAGCCCUGUGAAAGGUGUGUUCGGGGCUCCCGCCUGAGGCCUGCUUGGCGUGCCCUAGGCCAGCCCCCACCAAGUGCGCGCCCCUGGAUGCUGCGGGGGAUACGUGUGCUGUCUGCUGAGCGGAUCCGGACUAUCAGGUUGUACACAGCUUUUGCAAAGCCUCCUUUUCCAAAACUGACACUUCCUGAUCUAUCGGCUUUGAUGUCUUUGGCAGCAGCUGGGGAGUUGUGCGUCUCAGCGGUCAAAGUUUUGCGAGACAGCGCUGACCGCACUGCCUUCGGAUGCCGUCCCAUCCGUUUUCAUUUAGGGAGGAUUCAUUCACUCCAUGUCCCUCACUAUCGGCAGAUGCAGGAGGGCUGCUUUUUGGGAGGCAACAGCUUUUAGGGUCGUUUCCCUGCAGCCGCUUCGGACAAAGCCACCCUGGUCAGGUGCUCCCGUCCUCUUGCAGAUGCCACGGGACUGCCGAGCUCACCGCAGCCCGACAACCCAAGCGGGAAGCGGAGAGGAGCAAUGCCCUGCCCUGGCUCUGGAGGCU
Gallus gallus (chicken) is the source of this 1074-nucleotide long non-coding RNA. The record is from Ensembl. Lineage: Eukaryota; Metazoa; Chordata; Aves; Galliformes; Phasianidae.